Molecule: ribosomal RNA, 521 nt
Filed under: uncultured bacterium
Lineage: Bacteria
Description: bacterial SSU rRNA
Rfam family: Bacterial small subunit ribosomal RNA
Source: RNAcentral
AAUAGAUACCCUGGUAGUCCACGCCGUAAACGUUGGGCGCUAGAUGUGGGGACCAUUCCACGGUUUCCGCGUCGUAGCUAACGCAUUAAGCGCCCCGCCUGGGGAGUACGGCCGCAAGGCUAAAACUCAAAGGAAUUGACGGGGGCCCGCACAAGCGGCGGAGCAUGCGGAUUAAUUCGAUGCAACGCGAAGAACCUUACCAAGGCUUGACAUAUGCGAGAACGCUCUAGAAAUAGAGAAUUCUUUGGACACUCGUAUACAGGUGGUGCAUGGUUGUCGUCAGCUCGUGUCGUGAGAUGUUGGGUUAAGUCCCGCAACGAGCGCAACCCUCGUCGCAUGUUGCCAGCACGUAAUGGUGGGAACUCAUGUGAGACUGCCGGGGUCAACUCGGAGGAAGGUGGGGAUGACGUCAAAUCAUCAUGCCCCUUAUGUCUUGGGCUUCACGCAUGCUACAAUGGCCGGUACAAAGGGCUGCGAAACCGUAAGUGGAGCGAAUCCCAAAAAGCCGGUCUCAGUUCGGA